GACGAACGCUGGCGGCGUGCCUAAUACAUGCAAGUAGAACGCUGAAGGAGGAGCUUGCUUCUCUGGAUGAGUUGCGAACGGGUGAGUAACGCGUAGGUAACCUGCCUGGUAGCGGGGGAUAACUACUGGAAACGAUAGCUAAUACCGCAUAAGAGUAGAUGUUGCAUGACAUUUGCUUAAAAGGUGCAAAUGCAUCACUACCAGAUGGACCUGCGUUGUAUUAGCUAGUUGGUGAGGUAACGGCUCACCAAGGCAACGAUACAUAGCCGACCUGAGAGGGUGAUCGGCCACACUGGGACUGAGACACGGCCCAGACUUCCUACGGGAGGCAGCAGUAGGGAAUCUUCGGCAAUGGACGGAAGUCUGACCGAGCAACGCCGCGUGAGUGAAGAAGGUUUUCGGAUCGUAAAGCUCUGUUGUAAGAGAAGAACGAGUGUGAGAGUGGAAAGUUCACACUGUGACGUAUCUACCAGAAAGG
RNAcentral lists this ribosomal RNA (478 nucleotides) under Streptococcus mitis. RNAcentral describes it as "bacterial SSU rRNA". It matches the Rfam family "Bacterial small subunit ribosomal RNA", at positions 28 to 491 of the family's 1533-position model. Lineage: Bacteria; Bacillati; Bacillota; Bacilli; Lactobacillales; Streptococcaceae. The record is from RNAcentral.